Long non-coding RNA from Hyla sarda, 510 nucleotides. RefSeq lists it as uncharacterized. The record is from RefSeq and is a predicted model, not a curated record. Lineage: Eukaryota; Metazoa; Chordata; Amphibia; Anura; Hylidae. The transcript is spliced from 3 exons.
CACAGCUCCUCCCCUCCCCCUGCUCUGUAUUCUAAGGACGCAGGUCUGCACAGGAGAAGGACCUCACAGAGAAGAUGAGUGUAAUCUGAAGGGGAGGAUGAGAAGAAUUCCCAGUGGAGUGAUGAUAGCCUAUGAAUCUCCACACACUGCUAAUGGUGUUCUCCUCAAGGAGAAAUCUUACCCCUUUGACCUACUGAAAAUUGACACAGCACACCAAUAGCAAAAGCAUAGUUUAGGAGUAUCCUGGAUUGAAGCUGCUCUUCUGUCUCAUGGUCUGAACACCUUGCAAACAUUGAGUGAACAGUAAAUCUAAAGGUAUAUGAAACAUUUUACAAUAUAAUGCAAGGGCACCAGUCCAUUAAUUCAAGCUGAAGAAACAUUCAACAAAGCAACAAGACAAAGUACCAAAUGAACACAGAUCUGUGUAUCCUGUUGGACUACUUUAGAUUGUGAGAAGUACCAUGACCAGCGUUUUUUUGGGUUUAAUGUUAAUAAAAUGUUUAAUAAGGG